Molecule: small nuclear RNA, 195 nt
Filed under: Akanthomyces lecanii RCEF 1005
Lineage: Eukaryota; Fungi; Ascomycota; Sordariomycetes; Hypocreales; Cordycipitaceae
Description: Cordyceps confragosa RCEF 1005 U2 spliceosomal RNA
Rfam family: U2 spliceosomal RNA
About the family: U2 is a small nuclear RNA (snRNA) component of the spliceosome (involved in pre-mRNA splicing). Complementary binding between U2 snRNA (in an area lying towards the 5' end but 3' to hairpin I) and the branchpoint sequence (BPS) of the intron results the bulging out of an unpaired adenosine, on the BPS, which initiates a nucleophilic attack at the intronic 5' splice site, thus starting the first of two transesterification reactions that mediate splicing.
Source: Rfam by way of RNAcentral
UCAGCUCUCUUUGCCUAUUGGCUUAGAUCAAGUGUAGUAUCUGUUCUUUUCAGUUUAAUCUCUGAAAGGUCUCUACUUGAGACCGUUCUACGAUUAUUCCUAUUUUUGGCCUACGGAUGGUUUCCUCUGUGCUUGCGCAUGAUUCCAUCCACAGUGUUCCUGGUAUUACACUGCCUCCAGGUAACGCGAACAACC